Chloebia gouldiae (Gouldian finch) is the source of this 1414-nucleotide long non-coding RNA. The record is from Ensembl. Lineage: Eukaryota; Metazoa; Chordata; Aves; Passeriformes; Passeridae.
AUUUUAAUUAAUUUCUUUAUUAAUCAAUAAAUGAGCUCAUUGGAAUUACAUGAGAGGGGGAGGGGGGCUGUGAGUCCCCCCAUUGUCUCUCGGGGGGUCUCUGAGACCAUUUUUGGGGUCAUUUUCCAGUUUUUUGGGGUCAUUUUUCAGCUAUUUGAGGUUGGUUUUGGAGCUUUUGCAGUUAUUUCCCAAUUUUGGGUUGAACUUCUCACUUUUAUUGUGCUUUUCUGUCAUUUUUGGGGGGCUUUUCCUGCUUUUUUGGGGCCAAUUUCCUGCUUUUAAAAGCUCUUUUCCAUCUUGGGGGCAAUUUCCAGCUCUUUGAGGUUGAUUUUCCAUUUUUAGUGGUGUUUUCCCAUUUUUAUUAGUAUUUUCUAGCUUUUUGGGGUGCUUCUCCAGCUUUUAGGGUUCAUUUCCAGCUCAUGAGUUUGAUUUCCUCUUUUUGGUGUUGAUUUCCAGCUUUUUGGGAUUGUUUUCCUCUUUGGGACAGAAUUCUCAGGUUUUGGGGUGAUUUUCCAGCUUUUUGGGUGCUGGUUAGCCUUUUGAGUCCUAUUUCCAGCUUUUUGGGGUUGACUCCCACAUUUUCAGGGUUGUUUCCAGUAUUUUGAUGUGUUUCUCCAGCAUUUGGAGUUAAUUUCCCUCAUUUUGGGAUCCAUUUCCUGCCUUUUACAUUUGAUUUCCUUCUUUUUGAGUUGAUUUCAUGAACUUUCUGAGGUUGUUUUCCACUUCUUUGGAUUCAUUUCCCUUUUUUAGGCUUGCUUUUCAUCUUUUAGUGUAAAUUCCUCAUUUUCAGGAUCAAUUUCCCCACAUUUGGGGUUAUUCCCCACAUUUUUGAGGUCGAUUUCCUCCUUUUUAGAGCCAAUUUCCCUAUUUUGUUGCCAAUUUUUCUCUCGCCUCUCAUUUCACCCCCAUAUAUUUUGCAUACCAUGAUUUUCCCACCUCUCCUAACCCUUUUCCCCAUUAUUUCCUGGUUUUCUCCAUUUUUUUCCCAUUCUUUCCCCUUUUUUUCCUGUUUUUUUCCAUCCUUUCCCAUUUUUUUCCUGUUUUUUUCCCAUUCCUUCCCCUUUUUUUCCAGUUUUUCCCGUUACUUCUCUUUUUUUUCCUCCUUUUUCUCAUUUUUUCCCAUUUUCCCCUUUUUUUCCAGGCCGUUCCUGCCAUGGGCUCCGGCCCCAUCGACCCCAAGGAGCUCCUCAAGGGCCUCGAUUGUUUCCUGGGCCGGGAUGGGGAGGUCAAAACCAUGGAUGGCAUCUCCAAAAUAUUCAGCCUCAUGAAGGACUCCCAGAAGAUGGUGAGUCGCUGCAUCUACCUGAACAUCCUCCUGCAGACCCGGGCCCAGGACAUCCUGGCCAAGUAAGCACAUGGAAAAAUGGGAUUUUUGAGGGGAUUUUGGGGAAAUUUGGGUGGAUUUUGAGGUCUU